Molecule: ribosomal RNA, 301 nt
Filed under: uncultured bacterium
Lineage: Bacteria
Description: partial 16S ribosomal RNA
Rfam family: Bacterial small subunit ribosomal RNA
Source: RNAcentral
CAGUAGCCGCGGGAAUACGUAUGUCACAAGCGUUAUCCGGAUUUAUUGGGCGUAAAGCGCGUCUAGGUGGUUAUGUAAGUCUGAUGUGAAAAUGCAGGGCUCAACUCUGUAUUGCGUUGGAAACUGUGUAACUAGAGUACUGGAGAGGUAAGCGGAACUACAAGUGUAGAGGUGAAAUUCAUAGAUAUUUGUAGGAAUGCCGAUGGGGAAGCCAGCUUACUGGACAGAUACUGACGCUGAAGCGCGAAAGCGUGGGUAGCAAACAGGAUUAGAUACCCCCGUAGUCCCUGUCUCUUAUACC